GGGCGACGGUUGUCCCGGUUUAAGCGUGUAGGUGUGUGUUCCAGGUAAAUCCGGUUCACUUUAACACUGAGGCGUGAUGACGAGGCACUACGGUGCUGAAGCAACAAAUGCCCUGCUUCCAGGAAAAGCCUCUAAGCAUCAGGUAACAUCAAAUCGUACCCCAAACCGACACAGGUGGUCAGGUAGAGAAUACCAAGGCGCUUGAGAGAACUCGGGUGAAGGAACUAGGCAAAAUGGUGCCGUAACUUCGGGAGAAGGCACGCUGACACGUAGGUGAAGUGAUUUACUCAUGGAGCUGAAGUCAGUCGAAGAUACCAGCUGGCUGCAACUGUUUAUUAAAAACACAGCACUGUGCAAACACGAAAGUGGACGUAUACGGUGUGACGCCUGCCCGGUGCCGGAAGGUUAAUUGAUGGGGUCAGCGCAAGCGAAGCUCCUGAUCGAAGCCCCGGUAAACGGCGGCCGUAACUAUAACGGUCCUAAGGUAGCGAAAUUCCUUGUCGGGUAAGUUCCGACCUGCACGAAUGGCGUAAUGAUGGCCAGGCUGUCUCCACCCGAGACUCAGUGAAAUUGAACUCGCUGUGAAGAUGCAGUGUACCCGCGGCAAGACGGAAAGACCCCGUGAACCUUUACUAUAGCUUGACACUGAACAUUGAGCCUUGAUGUGUAGGAUAGGUGGGAGGCUUUGAAGCGUGGACGCCAGUCUGCAUGGAGCCGGCCUUGAAAUACCACCCUUUAAUGUUUGAUGUUCUAACGUGGACCCGUGAUCCGGGUUGCGGACAGUGUCUGGUGGGUAGUUUGACUGGGGCGGUCUCCUCCUAAAGAGUAACGGAGGAGCACGAAGGUUGGCUAAUCCUGGUCGGACAUCAGGAGGUUAGUGCAAUGGCAUAAGCCAGCUUGACUGCGAGCGUGACGGCGCGAGCAGGUGCGAAAGCAGGUCAUAGUGAUCCGGUGGUUCUGAAUGGAAGGGCCAUCGCUCAACGGAUAAAAGGUACUCCGGGGAUAACAGGCUGAUACCGCCCAAGAGUUCAUAUCGACGGCGGUGUUUGGCACCUCGAUGUCGGCUCAUCACAUCCUGGGGCUGAAGUAGGUCCCAAGGGUAUGGCUGUUCGCCAUUUAAAGUGGUACGCGAGCUGGGUUUAGAACGUCGUGAGACAGUUCGGUCCCUAUCUGCCGUGGGCGCUGGAGAACUGAGGGGGGCUGCUCCUAGUACGAGAGGACCGGAGUGGACGCAUCACUGGUGUUCGGGUUGUCAUGCCAAUGGCACUGCCCGGUAGCUAAAUGCGGAAGAGAUAAGUGCUGAAAGCAUCUAAGCACGAAACUUGCCCCGAGAUGAGUUCUCCCUGAGACUUAGAGUCUCCUGAAGGAACGUUGAAGACGACGACGUUGAUAGGCCGGGUGUGUAAGCGCAGCGAUGCGUUGAGCUAACCGGUACUAAUGAACCGUGAGGCUUAACCUUACAACGCCGAAG
This 1471-nucleotide ribosomal RNA is filed under the name Salmonella enterica subsp. enterica serovar Choleraesuis. RNAcentral's name for it is "partial 23S ribosomal RNA". It matches the Rfam family "Bacterial large subunit ribosomal RNA", at positions 1493 to 2925 of the family's 2925-position model. Lineage: Bacteria; Pseudomonadati; Pseudomonadota; Gammaproteobacteria; Enterobacterales; Enterobacteriaceae. The record is from RNAcentral.